This is a long non-coding RNA of Rhododendron vialii, 806 nucleotides long. RefSeq lists it as uncharacterized. The transcript is spliced from 4 exons. NCBI's taxonomy places the organism in Eukaryota, Viridiplantae, Streptophyta, Magnoliopsida, Ericales, Ericaceae. The record is from RefSeq and is a predicted model, not a curated record.
CCCUCAUUCUACGCGUUCCACAGACGCACGAAGAGAGAGAGAGAGAGAGAGAGAGAGAGAGAGAGACGAUCGAAGAAGAGGAGAAAUCGAUCAAGAAGAACACGAUAGCCGAUGACGAACGAAGAUUUUUCAGAAUAAAACCAAGAGCAGAUCCACGAAAAAGAGACCACGAUCGAAGAAUAAUGAAAAACCACAAGAUUAGGGUUCCAGUUCAAGGUAUCUUAGGGUUCCAUUUCAGAUCGAUGAACGAAGAAAAAGAGGAGGACGAAAAUCAAAACGACUGAAGAUACAGUUCCAUCGGAUUUCCAUACAACACAUCCUUUCUUCAUUGGGGAGGUUGAUUUGUGCACUUGAAAAAAUCAAAGCUUAACAGGCUGAUUUAGUCAAGAAAGUAGACAUCUCCGUUUAGUAGUAGUAAUAUUUCAAUGGUUAGGAUUUAUAGGAGGCGAAUUGCAAGUUUAUUAUUGCAAGUUUUAUUAUUAGGAUGUUCAGUGCUUUAUUCUGGAUGCUUGUUGAGUAUUUUAUGGUUAAUAUUUUAUGAUUGAGCUAAAUCAUGUUUUUAAUCCUUGAACGUUUAUACAAAAGGGGUCUGCUUUUAGUCUUUGGUAAUGAACAUAGUUGUGUUCAAACUUCAAACUAUAAGACUCAUAACCUAAACGCCAGUACAGUACUAUUAAAUAUAACAUAAGUUGAUAAACUCGUACUCUCUUUGGAUUCCUCCAACAAGGGGCAUUGUAUCCUUUUAAACUGAUUUCAGUUGUGGUUUUGUAUAGCAGUCUACUAGUGUGGUAAGCGAUUGACUAUGA